GACAGUUUGGUCCCUAUCUGCCGUGGGCGCUGGAAGAUUGACGGGGGCUGCUCCUAGUACGAGAGGACCGGAGUGGACAUUCCGCUGGUGUACCUGUUGUUUCGCCAGAAGCAUCGCAGGGUAGCUAUGAAUGGAAGAGAUAACCGCUGAAAGCAUCUAAGCGGGAAACUUGCCUGAAGAUGAGAUCUCCCGUAGGUUUAACCUACAUAAAGGGUCGUUGAAGACCACAACGUUGAUAGGUCAGGUGUGGAAGCGCAGUAAUGCGUUAAGCUAACUGAUACUAAUUGCCCGUUAGGCUUGAUCCU
This 305-nucleotide ribosomal RNA is filed under the name Polynucleobacter sp. Its description in RNAcentral is "partial 23S ribosomal RNA". It matches the Rfam family "Bacterial large subunit ribosomal RNA", at positions 2625 to 2925 of the family's 2925-position model. Lineage: Bacteria; Pseudomonadati; Pseudomonadota; Betaproteobacteria; Burkholderiales; Burkholderiaceae. The record is from RNAcentral.